CGCUGGAAUUUUCAGUAGGUUAUCUCAAGAGGGUGAAUGUUGUUCUAAAUUCUGAACUUGUACAAUAUAGUUUGUCGCUGCCAAGCUAUAUGCCACCUGAGCUGCAGACUACUCUUAAUUUUGGAUCAACUUCCUGAUAGUUGGGUGUGCUUAUCCAGGAUAUCUCAAAAUCAUCUUGACAUUAGCUACUGGACCCUUCAUUGUUGCCGUAGGAGGAAUAUCAAAUGUAUUUCUCCAUAGGCUGCCACAAAAUAUUCAGGAUGCAUAUGGAGUACGUUCACUUGAUCGUGUCGGCGGAUCCAUCUGCAAUGUUAAGAUUGGCAGGGGUCCUCAAAAUUCAUUUGUCAAUGCACAUAUAUAAUUCACAACUCACUAUGAAAAUUGUAUACAAAUCAGGGAUGUUCAAACAGGUAGUCAUCUGUUACCCUUUUGGACCAUAGUCUGUCUUUUCAGUGUUAGAUAUGAGAAUGGACUUUGUUGGUUAUAAGCUUAUAGAAAAUUGGAUCUACUAAAUACAAAAUCUCAAUAGUUUCCCUGAUUUAUCACGUGGGGGGAAUAGUCUGAGCAAGAUAAAUAAGGUUCGUGCAUCUGUAGUUAAAACUGCAGAUGUAGCUUAACUCAACUGAUAGUGUAAUAUCUCUUCCUAUGAGCAUUUGGCAUUGUUAACUGUGGGUCUUUUCCUUUUUAUAUAGUUAGUGUAUCGUGGAAGAAUUAUUAAAUAAAAUGUUUUUUUGAGCAUUCGGCAUGUUGAACAGUAAAUUAGUUCAGUCUAAGUAUUCCAUGCUUCCUGUUAUUUUACAGAAAAUCUGAUGUAGCAAGUGGGAACUGUGAAGAUUAAUUCUGUUUAUACAAUAGUGUAUCCCAUGCUUCAUGUUAUCGUGUAAGUAUUCCAUUCUUAUUUGACAUUAUAAUCCUAAAGAGGAUGCAUGCUGAUGUUUCUUAUUUGAUAUUCUAAUCCCAAAGCGGGAAAAUCAUUACAUUCACUUUGCAGUUUCAGUAAAAUCCUUUUUGUGUGAACAUGAACAUAUUGCAACUUGGAGACGUGGAAAAUUUUGACAGCUAAUUUACCAAGGUAGUAUGCUAACCUUCAAUAGAACCCUGAUAUCAAAUUGGUACGUCGACAACCUCUACCAAUUGCCACCGUCGUAGAUGUGCAUAGGUCGGUUCUUGGUUGCUGUUUUGACUUGAUCGAUGGAGUGGAGCGAAAUAUGGGAAAGGGGGGAUGGUUAUUUUUCUGUCGGAGGAGUAUAGCCUAUUAUGGGCGAGGGUCCGAAUAUUUGGAAGGUGAUUAUUGUAAUCUUAAUUACCACCAAUCAUGCGACAUAAUCUGGGCACACUUCCUGUGCUUCAUCAUCCCUACUUAUUUUUCAGCGUUUGCUUGUUCUACACCAACUGCUAAGAUUGUCACAUGAUGGGGAAGUUCUUCAAACAAAAUGCUGGUGAUCUGCAUGAGACUAAAAUAGAUACAAUUUGAUACCUUUUUCUGUUGAUCCGCUGUUUCUCUGUUGGGGAAUUCUUCGAACAGCAAGAGGUGUGGUUAUGAUCCCAGGAGUUAUCUGGCAUAACAAUGGUUCAAGCCAUGAAUUAUAGUGCUGCGAUAGCCAUGAAUUAUAGUGCUGCGAUUUGGUUGAUGGAGAUACCUGAAAUGGAUGGGCGGUUUCCUUCCCUGGAGCCCUGACAUAAUGGUGUAAUUUCCCUUUCCUAUAGCCUGCGAUUUGGUUUUCUAGGACGUGAUUGUUUCCUGGGAUUUGUGCCAUAAUUU
This is a long non-coding RNA of Lolium rigidum, 1762 nucleotides long. RefSeq lists it as uncharacterized. NCBI's taxonomy places the organism in Eukaryota, Viridiplantae, Streptophyta, Magnoliopsida, Poales, Poaceae. The record is from RefSeq and is a predicted model, not a curated record. The transcript is spliced from 5 exons.